AGAGUUUGAUCCUGGCUCAGAACUAACGCUGGCGGCGUGCCUAACACAUGCAAGUCGUACGAGAAAGUUGGCUUCGACUGAUGAGUAAAGUGGCGCACGGGUGAGUAACGCGUGGAUAAUCUGCCCUUUAGUUUGGAAUAACGUACCGAAAGGUGCGCUAAUACCGAAUAAUACUGAGUGACUACUGUCAUUUAGUCAAAGAAGGCCUCUGUUUACAAGCUUUUGCUGAAGGAUGAGUUCGCGUACCAUUAGCUAGUUGGUAGGGUAAUGGCCUACCAAGGCUACGAUGGUUAGCUGGUCUGAGAGGAUGAUCAGCCACACUGGAACUGAGACACGGUCCAGACUCCUACGGGAGGCAGCAGUGAGGAAUAUUGCGCAAUGGGCGAAAGCCUGAUGCAGCAACGCCGCGUGAGCGAUGAAGGCCUUCGGGUCGUAAAGCUCUUUUCUGGGAGAUGAGAAAGGACAGUAUCCCAGGAAUAAGUCUCGGCUAACUACGUGCCAGCAGCCGCGGUAACACGUAGGAGGCGAGCGUUAUCCGGAUUCACUGGGCGUAAAGCGCGUGCAGGCGGUUCGGUAAGUUAGGCGUGAAAUCUCCCGGCUCAACUGGGAGAGGUCGUCUAAUACUACCGAACUUGAGAGCGAUAGAGGAAAAUGGAAUUCCCGGGGUAGUGGUGAAAUGCGUAGAUAUCGGGAGGAACACCAGUGGCGAAAGCGAUUUUCUGGAUCGUUUCUGACGCUCAGACGCGAAAGCUAGGGUAGCAAACGGGAUUAGAUACCCUGGUAGUCC
This 787-nucleotide ribosomal RNA is filed under the name uncultured bacterium. RNAcentral describes it as "bacterial SSU rRNA". It matches the Rfam family "Bacterial small subunit ribosomal RNA", at positions 8 to 796 of the family's 1533-position model. The record is from RNAcentral.